Molecule: ribosomal RNA, 406 nt
Filed under: uncultured bacterium
Lineage: Bacteria
Description: bacterial SSU rRNA
Rfam family: Bacterial small subunit ribosomal RNA
Source: RNAcentral
UGAGGAAUCUUCCACAAUGGGCGAAAGCCUGAUGGAGCAACGCCGCGUGCAGGAUGAAGGCCUUCGGGUCGUAAACUGCUUUUAUAAGUGAAGAAUAUGACGGUAACUUAUGAAUAAGGAUCGGCUAACUACGUGCCAGCAGCCGCGGUCAUACGUAGGAUCCGAGCGUUAUCCGGAGUGACUGGGCGUAAAGAGUUGCGUAGGCGGUUAGUAAAGCGAAUAGUGAAACCUGGUGGCUCAACCAUACAGACUAUUAUUCGAACUCACUAACUCGAGAGUAGCAGAGGUAACUGGAAUUUCUUGUGUAGGAGUGAAAUCCGUAGAUAUAAGAAGGAACACCAAUGGCGUAGGCAGGUUACUGGGCUAUUUCUGACGCUAAGGCACGAAAGCGUGGGGAGCGAACCGG